AGAGUUUGAUCCUGGCUCAGAUUGAACGCUGGCGGCAUGCUUUACACAUGCAAGUCGAACGGCAGCACGGGCUUCGGCCUGGUGGCGAGUGGCGAACGGGUGAGUAAUGCGUCGGAACGCGCCGAGUAGUGGGGGAUAACGCAGCGAAAGCUGUGCUAAUACCGCAUACGUACUGAGGUAGAAAGUGGGGGACCUUCGGGCCUCACGCUAUUCGAACGGCCGACGUCUGAUUAGCUAGUUGGUGGGGUAAAGGCUCACCAAGGCGACGAUCAGUAGCGGGUCUGAGAGGAUGAUCCGCCACACUGGGACUGAGACACGGCCCAGACUCCUACGGGAGGCAGCAGUGGGGAAUUUUGGACAAUGGGCGCAAGCCUGAUCCAGCCAUGCCGCGUGUCUGAAGAAGGCCUUCGGGUUGUA
This 417-nucleotide ribosomal RNA is filed under the name uncultured bacterium. Its description in RNAcentral is "bacterial SSU rRNA". It matches the Rfam family "Bacterial small subunit ribosomal RNA", at positions 8 to 427 of the family's 1533-position model. The record is from RNAcentral.